CGAAAGAGUAAGAACCGGUACCGAUUCAAAAUUACCGAAAAAGUAAGAACCGGAACCGAAAAAGAAAAAAAUCGAUACCGCCGAUUUCGGUACCAACUGGUUCAGUAAAAAAUCGAAAAAAUCGAAUUUUUUUAGUACCUCUAUUCCUGGGUUCGCCCUAGUUUCCCUCCUGGCCCCUUCCCUAGGUUCCCCUCUAGACAACUAG
This 205-nucleotide long non-coding RNA is filed under the name Panax ginseng (ginseng). Its description in RNAcentral is "long non-coding RNA (PGIN_LNC009315)". Lineage: Eukaryota; Viridiplantae; Streptophyta; Magnoliopsida; Apiales; Araliaceae. The record is from RNAcentral.